This 76-nucleotide transfer RNA is filed under the name Glycomyces paridis. Its description in RNAcentral is "tRNA-Thr". It matches the Rfam family "tRNA". From Rfam's summary of the family: Transfer RNA (tRNA) molecules are approximately 80 nucleotides in length. Their secondary structure includes four short double-helical elements and three loops (D, anti-codon, and T loops). Further hydrogen bonds mediate the characteristic L-shaped molecular structure. tRNAs have two regions of fundamental functional importance: the anti-codon, which is responsible for specific mRNA codon recognition, and the 3' end, to which the tRNAs corresponding amino acid is attached (by aminoacyl-tRNA synthetases). tRNAs cope with the degeneracy of the genetic code in two manners: having more than one tRNA (with a specific anti-codon) for a particular amino acid; and 'wobble' base-pairing, i.e. permitting non-standard base-pairing at the 3rd anti-codon position. RNAcentral also lists the same sequence under 3 other names. The record is from RNAcentral. Lineage: Bacteria; Bacillati; Actinomycetota; Actinomycetes; Glycomycetales; Glycomycetaceae.
GCCGCCUUAGCUCAGUCGGUAGAGCGUGUUACUCGUAAUAACAAGGUCAACGGUUCGAUUCCGUUAGGCGGCUCCA